GUCACUGCCGCACCCAGGAAUAGGAUGUGAAGGCUUGCUCAAUAAUAAGAGUUGUGGACCUCCCAAAAAUAGAAACAGUCCAUACUGGAACAGACUCAUGGAAUCACAGAGUUUUUAGGCUUGGAAGGAACCUCUGGAGAUCAACUUGUCCAACCUCUCCUGCCAAGGCAGGGUCAUCUGGAGCAGGUGACAUAGGAAAUGCAUCCAGUUUAUGGCCAUUGCUCCUUGUCCUGUCACUGGGCACCACUGACAAGAGUCUGGCACCAUCCUCUUGGCAUCCUCCAUGGAAAUAUUUGUAUGGAUUAUUGAGACCUCAUCUCAGUCUUCUCCAGACUAAACAGACCCAGCUACCACAGUCUCUCCUCAUAAGAGAUGCUCUAGAACCCUCAUCAUCUUUGUGGCAUUUGCUGGACCCUCUCCAGUAUCUGCAUGUCUUUCUUGUCCUGAGGAGCCCAGAACUGGACACAGUCACACUUUUCUGUGAAGUGUGCUGCUUUUGAACUGUGGGCUGAGAUCCAAAACUGCACAAACCAAAAGGUCCCAGAUUUGCA
Poecile atricapillus (Black-capped chickadee) is the source of this 551-nucleotide long non-coding RNA. RefSeq lists it as uncharacterized. The transcript has 3 exons. NCBI's taxonomy places the organism in Eukaryota, Metazoa, Chordata, Aves, Passeriformes, Paridae. The record is from RefSeq and is a predicted model, not a curated record.